CUAUCCCAGAUCACCCUUCGCACCUCCCCUGGUGAGAGUUGAGAGGUCUCAAGCAGGAUCACAAAACUGAGAAGGGUCAGAGGCCGGGAAAGAAACUGGCCUCUCCAGCAGGAAGCAGCUGCCCCCAGGCCCUGGCUCCAGGAUCUUGACAGGCCUGUUAAAGAACGAGCUCCCGAGAACACGCAGCCAGCCGUGCAGUAAAUGCUCAUUGGUUGCCUGCCAGGAUCCAAGCUAAUAAUGGAGUCGCCUUAUGUUCAGCUCUGCAUCCCCCAGGCAAAGAACUGUGCCUGCCAUUUAGAAGGUGCUCAAUAGCUUGGGGCCCACGGUUCCCCACUCCUGUCCAAUGCAGCUGGCGGAAGAAGCCAUUGCAAGUCUCGUCGAGCUGAGCGCCAUGCACCAGGUUGCAUUCUGCAUUUUGGACUGCGUUCCCCAGGUUCUUUCACAUUUCCAAGGAGCAGAAACAGACCUGGAUCCCCUGAAAUAACAGGGAGGUUUUGCCCUAAUUCACACAGAGUUAAGAAAGAAUUUCCUAACAGCCCAACCUCGCGGAAAAGCUGCGGCCCUAGCUCCGGGGACUGGAACGCAAGCUCGGGGCCCUCCCCCUUCCCUGCCUGGCUAGUCCUGUCCUCCCUCUCGCCUCCAUCCCCUCCUCCCCCGCACUGAGAGAAUGCGCCACGUGUCCCUCCUCGGUGGUCCUGGAAUUUUCUGUGCGUCUCUGAAUCAUGGCACCGGUCUUGCUUCAUUGCUUUGGACUCCUUCGCACACGUUUGCGAACUCAUCACCCUUUGCUCUCCAGGAUCCACCGGCCGCUUCUAAGAGGACACCAUAGUUCAUAGAUGGAUUGAUCUAGAAAGGUGUCUCCUUCAUUCUCCCCCACAAUUUCUGGGUGGAAAGCCUGGUGGAGGCAGGGGGACAAUUACA
This is a non-coding RNA of Callithrix jacchus (white-tufted-ear marmoset), 921 nucleotides long. Lineage: Eukaryota; Metazoa; Chordata; Mammalia; Primates; Cebidae. The record is from RefSeq and is a predicted model, not a curated record.